This 1413-nucleotide long non-coding RNA is filed under the name Gadus morhua (Atlantic cod). RNAcentral's name for it is "lncRNA (ENSGMOG00000036332.1)". The record is from RNAcentral. Lineage: Eukaryota; Metazoa; Chordata; Actinopteri; Gadiformes; Gadidae.
GCAGCGUUCCUGGAAGAGGAUUACUACGGUUCCAACGUUCUGGCGGGACUCAACGGAGACGACUUCCACCACGACAUGAAGGACUGCAGACCGGUAAGAACCGGACACUUGUCCAUUUUGUUCUGCAGAACGCGUUUUACGUUACCUACGUUGUUGUGUUUAUUUGACUCAUUGUGUGUUUUUUAUUUUGUUUCCAUCCCAUUAUCGACAGAAAACCCAAGUGUCUAAAUAUCCGCUCGUGAAGCGCCGAAGCUCCAAGGUAACGAGACGUCCCAUGUUGAUGAUGUCAUCGCUCAUCUACAUCAUGACCUAAUAUGGCAAUACCCGCACGCUCCCGCAGUAGCUUUUAAAAGUGGGCAUCACAUCGGCGCCUCUCUAAACACAUCAUAAACAUUAAUUUCUUGUAUUUCCGUUUGUUGCUUUUAGGAGGACAUGCUGGAGGAGUGCAGCCCUUAUCGCCCAGAAGGGUUCUCUGAGAAGUGGGAGGAUGGAGAGGAGGAGGAACUGGAUUACGCCAAACAGAAAAAUCCCAAACACAAAAGUCAUAAACAGAAGCCGUCCCAGAAGAAGAUGUUCCCCAACGGAUCCCCCAUGGGCUCCUUCCUGGAGGACGAAGACUACCAACAGGGUGAAGGGGGUCCCCCCAGCCCUUGGGGGCCGUACGAGGAGGAGGAGGAGAACGAGAUGGACCUCUCAAAACCCGUACUGAAUUUCUUCGUAACGCCAAAUAUAACGAAUAUUUCCGUUUUGGUUUAUAUUGCUGUUAUGUUUUUUUUACCUUUUUUUUUUUUUUUCUCUCCACUUUCUUUAGCAUAAGAGGUUGCCCAAACCAAAAGGGAUUAAGAAGCACAAAGCAAAGGUAAGUCAAAGUGCCUAAAGUCAGAAGUAAUUCAAGUAAAGUGCAGGCAAAGCGCUUGACGGUUGCCACGGGUAGUUCUUUAGUAUUUCCAAUGUGUCACUUGGUUUUUAAUUCUCUUCUCACCUUUCUAUUUGUCCUCGGGUGUCCAUCCAGAGUGGGACCCUGGAUGUGGACCCCCCAGGAGCCACCUCUAGUGACUACUUCCAGUCCGAGGCUGCCGCGGUACGGACCACCACACGCAUGUUUUAGAAGCUUCUACCAGUCAGGGUUUAGCACCCCGAUAAUCUGCGUGACUUCAAAGCGUUCAAAAUCAAAUCUAAAAACGUCUAACUUCUAAAACCUUAAAUUCCGGAGAGCCGAUCUUUAAUAUUCAACUUAAGCUUCCCUUCUGUAGACCUUUUUAAACAUUUUUAUGAAAUGCACGUCAAAUCUAAAAUCACAUGAGGACAUCAGUCACAUGGAGGUAGAAGGUGGAGCUGGAAAAUCCCUGUACUGCAGAAUAAAAAAAAAGUGUGUUGUGUGAACACGGAAGACCUUUUAAUAUGCGACAGAAA